Long non-coding RNA from Lolium perenne, 4274 nucleotides. RefSeq lists it as uncharacterized. Lineage: Eukaryota; Viridiplantae; Streptophyta; Magnoliopsida; Poales; Poaceae. The record is from RefSeq and is a predicted model, not a curated record.
CCCACACCGCCAUCCGCGUCGACUUGGCCAUGGGCAACACCUUAGUGCGUCACUACACGGCCUCCAACACCCUCCCAUAAGUUGGAGGCAGCAGUGGCCAGCUAAGGAGGUCCGGCUUCAUCUUCUCUGCCAGCAACGAAACGAUUCAGAGCAAGGCGUAACCAGCAACCAACCAAGCCAUUGGUUCUUACAUGAAAAGCUAGCUACUCUCCCUUCUCCUUGGUGACCUCGUGGUCUGAGUGGUCAAUCAACAACUCUUAUUCAUGCUGUAAAGUACAACAGAUUUUCUUUAUUUUGCCAAACCUAAAUAUCCUUUCUGGGCCUCCAUGCAAGUGAACAAAUUACAAGGAAGAAAGGAAAAGUGUAGACCCUCCAUAAGAGCAAGCAGGAACGGAAACUGUUGAAAAAGCAAAGAGGUGGGGUUAGGGUGCCAUGGUCACAUACCUUAUAUGCUGGAUAAUUCUCUGCGAAUUUCAUGCAGGUAGUUCCUCUGCUUGAUAUAAAACAUUCUUUUUUGAAAAUUGGAAAUUCUUAUUAAAUGCUAGCUAUGUGUUGAUGUAAUUCAUCUUUGUCACUGAGGAUGCUAUCGUACAUGUUAUUCCAGUCUAUCAUGGGUAUUACUUUGAAUUUUCCCCUGUUUAUAGGAAAAAGGAUAUAUGCCAGUUCAAGCUUAUAUGUACUACUAAUAAAAUAGUUAUAUGAGCUUAUAUGUAUUAUUAAUAAUAUAGUUGUGGGUUCACUACUUUGUUCAUUUGCGGUCGGUUCGCCAAGAGGAUGCAUGGUUCUAAUCUUUCUCUGCACUAUGUUGAACUUGAGAAAUUGGUGGAAUCUGUAUCAUGUACAAUUGAGGUUCUUUAUUCCAAUCGUUCUGUCACAGAAGAAUACACAUCUUGAACCCCAACCCUAACAGCAAGGUUAGAUGCUAAGUUGUGUAGUUAAGUUUCACACUGAAUCAUUUAUCUUCAGAUGGUUGAGAUUUUUUUGAUUUGGUUUAUUUAUAGAAACCAUUGUGUUAUCUUCUGUAAUUUUGUGCCCCUAUAGAGCUUCUUAUUUCACAAAAUUUUCAUUCACUAAUGAUUUAAGCGGCUCUAGAAAGGUAAUUAGUUCAUUAUUCUUCAAAUAUCACGUAGUGUAAGCAAAGAUAGUAUCUUUGUAUUAAGAGACCUUUGGAUUUCCAAAGUGGGAACCCUACAACUUAAUUGUGCGUUUUCAGCGAGCAGUGAAUUCUUUUUUGUAGCCCAUUGCUACAAGCUGCAAAAGCAUGCUAUUAUUAGUUUCUUGACUCAAAUCAUGUUAGCAGUUGCUGCCAGUCAAUUAAGAUGCCACUAAUAUUUUUUUGUGGAUUUCCUAUCUUUUGGUGAUAGAGAGUUAGUUUUAGAGGUAUUUCUGUCUCAGGCAUUGUUAUUCUUCAACAUAGUAUUAUAGAAGGCAGCGGUGGAAAAUAUGGGGUCAAUGAUAGGCCGAACUGUCAUGAAUUUACAAGAAGACAUUCAAGAUUAAUUACUGAUGACAAGAUGAUUUUCAGGGAGAUUUUGCAAGGUAUCCUUUGAUUUUACUGUUCAUACAGAUACAUGUGCAUCAACAAUCUUGAGACCAACAUAUGAUUGCCAGUAUCAAAAUUGCCAAUAUCAAGUGCCAAACUGAUCUACUCCCUCUGAUCCAUAAUAAGUGUUGGAGUUUUAGUUCAAAUUUAUCCAGAAAUGAACUAAAACCCGGACACUUAUUCUGGAUCGGGAGGAGUACAUGUCAUGGCAUCCAUUUCAUUGGAGAAUUUUACUAUUGCAAUACUGGCAAACAGGAUGCAACACGAUAUGUAGGUAAUGCUUAGUAGGCAGCCUUUUUAAUAUUUUUCAUAGCAUAACCUUUUAUAUAUCUGUUUAUAAUAGUGGGAUUUUAGAGAGCAUUUAUGUACAAGGAUAAACUGAUAUCUAAGCCAAUCACAUGUGUUGAGAGGCCAGUAAAGACUACUUUUGACUAUCAUUUUCAGUUCUCUCUAAUUUUUAUUUGUCUCCAACAUAGAAGCUCUAUUCAUAAUUAUCUGAUGUUCUUGGUCAUGUGUAGUAAUAUUUAUGUUUGAAUAUAAGGAAGUAUUGUAUUUAUAACAUAGGUCAUCAGCCUCCUUGAUACUACUCAGUACUGACCAGGCUAAUCCUGGGGUUAACUUUUCCGGGGAGUUUACAUGUAACCACUGCCUAUGCUCGAAGAAAUUGCGUUGAACUUAAACGAUCUGAAGUCAAAGAAGGUGCAUUUUUUUCUUGCAGCAUAAUUACCUACCAUUGACUUACUAACUGAACAAUGCAGUUUGUGCCCAUUUAAGCUUCCAUUAGUCCAUUAUAUAAUAUUUUAUAGGGACUUUGGUCUGUUCACCCAGUUAGACUACAUUACCUAUCUACAAAAAAGCUCAAGAUUUUUUUCCAAUGAUCAAGUUUUGAAAUUUUUGUUUCCAUGUGUUCUUAGAAUUCACAGAAGUAGUGGAACUUCAUAAUUACGGGGACAUCAGAUUGUUUGGUGACCUUGCUUUUCCUCCUUUCACGGUGGAAAGUAAGCAUUGGCGACACAUAGACGCAUGGCUUUUAUUUAUUUAUUCCCUUCCGACUGGCUUUCCCUGGUCACGGUGACACGCACGGCAUCAUUUAGUCAGCUACUCUUAGCCAUAGUUCUUAAUUAAUUGUGCCCCAAAUACGAAACAAGAAGUGGGAAAAUAGCCAUGUACCUACACAAUACUUUACAACAUGCAGUACCAAAGAUACUCAAGUUAAGAUUUCCGUUUCAGUCGUGAUAUACGAUUGAUUGGAACCAUCAGGAGCACAUACAUUAUGACAUAAAAGAAAAUUUUGAAGAAAGUGGAACUAGGCUAAAUAGGCAGCACACAGGCUAAUGAUAUUUCACUUCAAUAAUAUCUUCCUCCAUAGGUAUCGAAGCUAACAUAGUUCUCUAUCACAACACCUAUAUUUCCCAUACAAAUGUGAACUAAUGUCAUAUUUUGUUCUCUGUGCAAAGCUUCCUGCCUGAUUUUACCUCUUUGUUCUUUUUACAAAUCUAGACAAGAUAUUGGACACUCAAAAAUAGUAGCACAGACAGUCGCCAGGUUUUUCUAAAUCUAUGCUAUUGCAUAGAUAAGAAUUGUAGUUCUGGACUUUUGGCAUUAAGGAACAGAAAAUGUCAGUUCUAGCAGAUUCUUGCCAUUUUUUGUUAAUUAAUUUCAAGAUCCGAACAGAGCACUUGCUUAGUUGUUCAAGUGUUACCAAGUGAUGAGAAUGGGUACUAAAAGCAUUCAUCAAUGGACUUACAGUUCACAAGUUUUUAAUAACAAUGGCAUUGACUUAUAUGAUCUACAGUUCUAUAUGCAAGCAGAUCAUGAUGUCCACCCUCAUGCGCAUCACACAACCCAUCUAGCCCUUUUCUCAACUACUAAAUAAAGCGUACACCAAGCAGGUAGCUACAACUAAUUAAUCAUAUCCUAACGUUUAGAAAAUGCAAAGAAAGGGGCAGCACAUGAACACAUACAUUCGGGACCAACGGAUGAUAGAUCAAGCACAUAAUAAAGAAGUUAGAAGCGCCAUCUAAGAAAACUAAAAGUUAGAAGUGCAAGCAGGGUGGUGUACCUGCAAGUGCAAGCCUGCUGCAGCCACUGCGCCUAGGGAGUCAGGCAGUCAGCGACUCCAUGGCCGAUGGAUGGCCGCAGUUACCAUCACUGAGGAUGCCACGGUGGCAGAUCGAGCUCCAGUUCUGGCUCCGCUGCCCCUCAGCUUCUGCCCACCUGCUGCCGCCGCCGAUGUGUGACUGCUUUCCUCUGAGCAACGGGCGCAGGACAUACAGGGGCACAUAGGCUGCGAGUAAAGGCAGAAGGCCAUGUUGGCGGGAACGAAUCUGCGGUGCAAGCUACAGAGAGUACGAUUUUGUGCUCGCCUGUGUCAAUUGGCAGCUCCGGCGGACGGAAUCGAGGAGCAGACUCGGGGGCAGUAGCCUCAGGAGAGAGCAAGGAGAAAGGGGAACGGAGGUGACUUUUUUUUUUUUACAAACAGAUGUCGGAACCAUGAGUGCUAUGUGUUUGUGUCGCGGUUUGGCAAAGGAUUGCUCCUGGGUUGUUUGGUCUUUCUAUUCUUUUUAAGGGGCCUAUCUGUACAGGCGGACAAUGCCCUUCUUUUCAAUGUAGUGUGCUAUAGACCUAUAGUCCAAUGUAUCAGAAAAAACCAUUCGUGCGUGUGAGACUGUGAUGCUGAUGCAUGUCUCCGGAUCACCCUGUGUGAGAAAAGGAUAGGGUCCGCGUGUAA